AAGGGAGACCUAAUUCAGGUAUAAGACGAAAAAAAAGUAGUCCCUACCAAGAAUCAAUCCCAAAAGGUCGGAACGAGGUAUGAGGCUUUCAAACUAGGUUCUGGGUUCAUAAAAGACCUGAAUCAGGAACAAGGGCUAUUAGCUCAGGUGGUUAGAGCGCACCCCUGAUAAGGGUGAGGUCCCUGGUUCGAGUCCAGGAUGGCCCACCUGCACAGGUGGCAAAAACAAGAGAAGCGAGGAAUCAGCACCUUAUCUUAUAUACAUAUAUAAGAGAGAAUGCUGGCUCUGAGUACAGAGUCCAGAGGAACCUUGAAAACUGCAUAGAGCUAGGUGAAAAAGCCAAAAGAGAAGACCGCAA
RNAcentral lists this transfer RNA (358 nucleotides) under uncultured cyanobacterium. RNAcentral describes it as "16S-23S ribosomal RNA intergenic spacer". The stretch from base 133 to 206 matches the Rfam family "tRNA". Lineage: Bacteria; Bacillati; Cyanobacteriota. The record is from RNAcentral.